GUAAUGGAAGGGCUUUGAUUCGACAAAGAGGCACAUAACAAAGGAGGAGAUGCUAUUAAUCACUGGAGAUUAUAUAAAUCCUAGAAUUCUUACAUGUGAAUGGUUUAGCAGAAAAACAUACACAGGUUUUUCAUUAGCAUUUGCUUUAUUUAUCAAAUUCCUGAAAUAAAGCCUAACAGAUGUGACUGUGUUUGCAGAUCAGGCAGCACAUAUUAAUGGGGAAAGAGACUUGAUAUUUAAUUGAAGCAUGUGGGACAACAGCAAUGACACCUGACACCUGGGGAUACCUGCCACAGUUUGGACUAUGUGCUGCCACUGAUUGUUUUCCUUUGACUUCGCUGAUGAUGAUGAUUUAUCAGAUAUUUUUCCCCAAUAUAAAGAGCAAACAAACCCACAUGCAUCAGUGUGCAGCUGAGCAAUGGAUUGAGUCCCCUUGAAUUCAGAACUGUUUUUCCUCAUAAGGCUUGCUUUCCAGACACUUGAAUCCCUCAAUGCCAAGGUUUGGGUGAAUUCAGACAGGAAGGGAAAACACACACACACACACCAAACAACACGUGUGAGGCCUUUUCCAGCACUAAUAGGGGGUAAGUGGAUCCUGUGACUCCACAGCUGAAGGAGGUCUUCAAGAUUAUAAGAGCACUCAGGUAAGUUCUGAGUGGUGCCAUUUGUCCACAGAGCAUUGUGAAAAGAUGUUAUAUGAAGCCGCCAUACACUGAAUUGAGCCAUCUUGGAAUGCAGGGAAGCUGCAUUAUAUUAGAUCAGGCUGUUUGUCCAACAGUCUGUUCUGACAAGCAAUGUCUCUCCAUCAUCUUGGGGAAGCCCUACCACCUACGACCUAUCAUUUUAAGUGGAGAUGCUAAGGACUGAAAAUCGGACAUUCUGCAUGCAAAUUAUGGGCUCUGCCACUUAGCUAGGGUCCAUCUGCAUCCAACCCAUCACCAUAUAUUCUGGCAAUGGUUGGUCACUGUGGGAUACAGGAUACUGGCCUUGGGAGGGACUUUGGCUAAUACUGCAGAGCUUCUCUUAUGUUCUUGGUACCCCUUCCCCCUCCCCCCUUUGCAUCAGGGCUUGCUGUGGUGCAAAGAAUUGGGCCACUGUCCCAUAUGGAUGGCUUUGGGGUUGUUGCUCGUCUAAUAAUCAGAAGCCAUAUUUGGAAAACCGAUGCUUUACUCCUUGCAUUGACAUAUGUUGGGAAGCAAAAACAGGCAGGACUCUUGAGUGUUGUUCAACACUAGGUGCAUGAAACCUGAAGACAUAGUAGCUCCCCCCCAGGGGAUUGACACAUUUCAGAGUAGUAGACCCAGGAGUUUCUGUGCUAGCCCCCUUGCAAGUUUUUGUUUUUCAAAAUGUUUUCAAAAGUAAAAAGUAAUAGCCAUGAUGGAAUUCUAAGAGCUUAGGUAGACAGGUAUUUUUAAAAUAGUAGACUCAAGCUUAUUGCAUCAUCAUGCUGCUAAUGCUAACUUCUUUAGCAUUUGUGUGUUGCCUGUGUGCACAAUAUACUGGAUUGUGUAUAAAAUGUACUAGUCUUUGGGGGACAGAACUAUCAGCAUUUAGAAGGGGGAAAAAACUGUUGAAAGCUACUUAGAGCCUAUAGGAUAAAGGGAUAUAAAAUACAUCUAUCUAUCAAUGAAGCUAUCAGAUAAUUAAUAUUGCGGAGAUUCUCAUUAGUAUUCUGCCAUUCAAAGUACUGUAAUAUAAAAAUUAAUAUAAAUCAAUAUAAAGAAACAAAUACAGUCUUCUGAAGCUGAAGGUUGAACAGUCCUUAGUGGGACUACUCUAAAUUAGUUGCAGCAGAUAGACAGCUACAGCUUUCAAAAUCUGCAUCCUUCUGAAAAUCCUGCAAUGCUUGGUUCCAUAUCCCAAGCAAAUGAAAACUCCCCCACUUCCCCUUUUUAAAAGUGACUUCAAGUAUAUUUAUUGCUUGGAGGUGACCAUUAAUUUUGCAUUGUGGAGCACGUUACAUUUCUCCUGUGUGCACUAUUGCUCUCAGAUCAUUUCCAGUUCUUUUGCACUCGUUCCAUUUGGUUUUGCUGUGGUCUGCAUUCCGAAGAUUAAUAAAAAAAUAUAUUCUGCUACCUCUUCAGUCUGAGCCUUCCUUCUGAAUUGAUGACCUUGAUGUAUUAGUCAAAGCUCAAAUAUAAAUCCUUUUCUUUUUUUUUGCAGAAUGGGACCUACAUGGCAUCCCUGGAUGUUCUUGUGAUAUAUAAUUUUUCCCUCCAACAAGGUGAAACUCAUGCAUAUGAAAGAGGAAUACAACAGUUCUCACCGUCUGGUAUGGAGAACCAUUUGGAGAGAGAAGACCCAAGGCAAAUGUCAAUCCUGAUGGUAAUUUCUGCUUAAGUUCUACAAGCAGAAAACAAUACAAGUGCCAAGAUUGCCAUUUAUGUGACUUCUGAGGUGGAAUAUGGAAUGACUAUGUACAUGGAAAUGAGUGGUUGAGUUCUACUGUCUUGCAUAGAGCAACUCAGCUCUGACUUGCUGAAAAUUAAUAUUUCCAUGACAGAUGGUACAUUGUUCCUCUAUUUUCCAAAACUGGAUUCAGCUCUAUGCUAGAAAUUCCUUCCAUAGAGGGUGCCCAUUGAACACUAAAUAUUACUCUGUUUCAUUUUCUGUUUGUUUCUUUUUUUACACUACACAUGCUGGGAUCUUAAAAAGUACUCCGUUGUGCAGGAAUGGCAUUUGUUUUCUCAUCACAUAAUGGGAAGCAAUUGUUAUGUUCUUAGGACUUAAAAUGAAACCGGAGAAUCAGCUUCAGAAACACAAUAACCUGGAAACUUGGGUCCUACAGACCUUUCAUUUUACAUCUUCUCCAUCAUGGGACAUCCAUGCCAGGGAAUGUUGCAGUCUCUUUGCCAAAUGGGGGUUUAUUCUGUUUGGGGCCACUCCGGCCACUGCCAUUAGGUGAGUCAGGAUGGAUUCUAGCAUGAUGAGAUUUCCUUCCAUGUCCUGACCUAUGUCCUGCCAUGGGGUGGGGAACAUGAGCAAGAAGCCACAACCUGCAUUGUAUUGCAAGGAUGGAAAGCAGGUAAGGAUGCAGUUGAAGGUGAUGAGGAGAGAGCUGUGCGACCAAGAGGCAAACCUUCCCCUUCCCUCUGUCUUUUCUCUCAUGUAUCCUGAAAUAAAGAGAACAAAAUGGGGGACAAAUCUCUUCUGCCCGGGGGCAGCACUGCAAUAAAUGCACUUCGGGACAUACUCUUUAAAAUAUAUUAGGUGUGUGCACCUAAAACUGCACUGCAGAAAUGAAGCAGCCUUCCAUUAAUGGCUCCUUUGGCCACGUCACAGCAGCUCCUUUGCCUCAGACCUUGAAGCAGGUGGGAACACCUGCCCUGAGAGGAAGCGUUUGCAGCUCAAGCUCUUUCUGAUAAGAGGGUAAGAAGAGAUUUAUAAAUGUAUUAUACAUACACAUAACAAAGUACUCCAUGAGCUGUUACUUUUAUCUUUUGUUGGACAAGUGAUCCUGACAGACAGGUCUAUUAUUCUUAUCUGAAAAUGCUUCUUCCAUUCUCACUCUCCCAACACCUCACAGUGCAGCCACAGAUUUUAAUGGAUUUGGAACUGGUAGCUGACUCAGGUCAGCUAGAAGGCCAGGAUGUCAGUGAAAAACAAGUGCAAAUGGUGGGGAGAGAAGGGGGGAAGAUAGAGAGCUGGAGAGAGAGAGAGCACAAAAAAAGACACUGGGCUCAGAUAUACAGGCAAAAGGAUCCCCCAUCACGAGCAGAGGAUGCCGACAAGUUCCUUCUAACUAUGUUGCAUUCGGCCACAAUGAAGCCUACAAAUUACAUUUGCUGUUUCACAUAAAGUCAAUUCUAAUCUUGAGCAAAAGAUGAUGCCCAACUCACCCAUGCUUGAAAUCAGCAUUUAUGUUAAAUCAUUGACUUGAGACUGUACUUCCUUCCACUGUUUGCGCUCUACUCUUGUAUAAGCAAUGAAGAUAUUAAUUAGUGCCCUUGGCAUAGCAGACCGAUCUUUAAAUGGGCACGGGGGGGGGGGAGGGGAAACAGGACUAUUUGCUGCCACCUCAUAAAAUGAUAGGGGUCACUAGUGAUGCAGGAAGACUCCCUGAGGAAGGUAUUUUUACAGUACAGCUCUUGACUGGACAUGUUGGCCUUGUAGUGCCAUCAUUGCUAAAAUAGUCUUCAGCAAAGCAACUAAACCAAAUCUCUCCCCAUCACCUUACACAGUCAAAGUUAUCGCCACAGAGAGCUAUGGAGUGGAAUGGAAGGAAACUUUGGCCAAGGAGUUUUGGCCUGUGGUUUAUUUUAUUUAUUUUUAUUUAUUGAAUUAGUUAGACGCUUUCUCUUGCCCAAGGCAACCCAACGCAACUUACAAGCAAACAGACAGAACUAUAAACAGGGCUGAGGACUUAUCCACACACCUGUUUGCCCAACCGCUUUUUCCUGGGGAAACCUGAUCUUUAGUGCUGAAUUGGAACAAGCAGCAAUCAGGUUUUCUGAAGGUUGUCAUUUGUUCCAAUUUAGCACUAAAGAAUAGGUUUCCUUGCUUCUAUAGGUAGCUAUAAAAUCAUUUCUUUCCUCUUUUGUUAAUGUUUAGAAGAAGCUGCUAUAUAGCUGUAACAUAGCAAAGCUUUCGAUUAGUUUGGACUUGUGGGAGGUCUAGGCAGUAAAUCAAAGCAGAGUUGAAAAAUGAUUAACAUUAUUGCUAGCUUUGCAUGCCAUACUUACCAUUUGUAAUAGUAAUUUUAUCUGUUGCUUCAAUAUUUUCAAUAUUUUCCUUCUAAUUAAUUAAGCUUAAUUAAUCCCAGUUUACCAUGCUGUAGUCUUGGCAUAGAUUAGCUACUCCAAUUUGUGGUUUAAGAUUGCAUAUUCAUAUUCUAUUUUGUUUUUCCAUGUGAUCCUUGUAAUUUAUUUUCCUAGCACAUAAUGUUUCUUAUAUCUUCCCAUUUCCUAAGAUUCACUUCUCCAUAAUGUGGCUUUGGAUUUACUUUUGAUAUCCUCUGUGCUUUAACUUUCAAAACGCAUUUACUGGUUUUCUGCUAAAUAAAUUCAU
RNAcentral lists this long non-coding RNA (5007 nucleotides) under Podarcis lilfordi (Lilford's wall lizard). Lineage: Eukaryota; Metazoa; Chordata; Lepidosauria; Squamata; Lacertidae. The record is from RNAcentral.